Molecule: transfer RNA, 76 nt
Filed under: Bacteriophage sp.
Description: tRNA-OTHER
Source: RNAcentral
CUAGUAAAUACACAUAUUAGACUUAAAAUCUGUUGCCCGCAAGGGCGUGCCGGUUCGAUUCCGGCCUAGCGCACCA